AGGGCAAGUCUGGUGCCAGCAGCCGCGGUAAUUCCAGCUCCAAUAGCGUAUAUUAAAGUUGUUGCAGUUAAAAAGCUCGUAGUUGAAUUUCGGGGUCAGCAGGUUGGUCGUGCCAAUGGUAUGCACUGGCCUUGCUGAUUCCUCCCUCUUGAUGAGCCGUAAUGCCAUUAAUUUGGUGUUGUGGGGAAUCAGGACUGCUACUUUGAAAAAAUUAGAGUGUUUAAAGCAGGCAAGCGCUUGAAUACAUUAGCAUGGAAUAAUGAAAUAGGACGUUCGAUCCUAUUUUGUUGGUUUCUAGGAUUGACGUAAUGAUUAAUAGGGAUAGUCGGGGGCAUUAGUAUUCAAUUGUCAGAGGUGAAAUUCUUGGAUUUAUUGAAGACUAACUACUGCGAAAGCAUUUGCCAAGGAUGUUUUCAUUAAUCAAGAACGAAAGUUAGGGGAUCGAAGACGAUCAGAUACCGUCGUAGUCUUAACCAUAAACUAUGCCGACUAGGGAUCGGAUGAUGUUAAUUUUUUAAUGACUCAUUCGGCGCCUUACGGGAA
This 543-nucleotide ribosomal RNA is filed under the name uncultured Glomeromycotina. RNAcentral describes it as "SSU rRNA". It matches the Rfam family "Eukaryotic small subunit ribosomal RNA", at positions 552 to 1096 of the family's 1831-position model. The record is from RNAcentral. Lineage: Eukaryota; Fungi; Glomeromycota.